RNAcentral lists this ribosomal RNA (477 nucleotides) under Magdalis armigera. RNAcentral describes it as "partial 16S ribosomal RNA". Lineage: Eukaryota; Metazoa; Arthropoda; Insecta; Coleoptera; Curculionidae. The record is from RNAcentral.
CUUUUGAUUAUAAUUUAAGGUCUAACCUGCUCAAUGAUAUAUUAUUAAAUAGCCGCGGUAAUUUGACCGUGCAAAGGUNGCAUAAUCAUUAGUUUUUUAAUUGANNGCUUGAAUGAAAGGUUGAAUGAAAAAAUAACUGUCUCUAUUAAAAUUAAUUAAAAAUUUAUUUUUAAGUAAAAAAGCUUAAAUAAAAAUAGAAGACGAGAAGACCCUAUAGAGUUUUAUAUUUUUAAAAUACAAUAAUUUUUAGUAUUUUUAUUNNUAUAUUUUAAAUUUAUUUAAUUGGGGUGAUUUUUAAAUUAAAUUAACUUUUUUUAAUUUUAACCAAUAAUUUUUGACUUUAUGAUCCUUNUUUAAAGAUUAAUAAAUAAAAUUACCUUAGGGAUAACAGCGUUAUUUUUUUUUAGAGUUCAAAUCGAAAAAAAAGAUUGCGACCUCGAUGUUGGAUUAAAAUUAAAUUUUGAUGCAGAAGUCAAA